Molecule: ribosomal RNA, 497 nt
Filed under: uncultured bacterium
Lineage: Bacteria
Description: partial 16S ribosomal RNA
Rfam family: Bacterial small subunit ribosomal RNA
Source: RNAcentral
GAUGAACGCUGGCGGCGUGCCUAAUACAUGCAAGUCGAGCGAACGGACGAGAAGCUUGCUUCUCUGAUGUUAGCGGCGGACGGGUGAGUAACACGUGGAUAACCUACCUAUAAGACUGGGAUAACUUCGGGAAACCGGAGCUAAUACCGGAUGAUAUUUUGAGCCGCAUGGUUCAAAGGUGAAAGACGGUCUUGCUGUCACUUAUAGAUGGAUCCGCGCUGCAUUAGCUAGUUGGUGAGGUAACGGCUUACCAAGGCAACGAUGCAUAGCCGACCUGAGAGGGUGAUCGGCCACACUGGAACUGAGACACGGUCCAGACUCCUACGGGAGGCAGCAGUAGGGAAUCUUCCGCAAUGGGCGAAAGCCUGACGGAGCAACGCCGCGUGAGUGAUGAAGGUCUUCGGAUCGUAAAACUCUGUUAUUAGGGAAGAACAUAUGUGUAAGUAACUGUGCACAUCUUGACGGUACCUAAUCAGAAAGCCACGGCUAACUACGUG